This 494-nucleotide ribosomal RNA is filed under the name uncultured bacterium. Its description in RNAcentral is "partial 16S ribosomal RNA". It matches the Rfam family "Bacterial small subunit ribosomal RNA", at positions 28 to 507 of the family's 1533-position model. The record is from RNAcentral.
GACGAACGCUGGCGGCGUGCUUAACACAUGCAAGUCGAACGGUGAAGCGCCUUCCUUUUUGGUUGGUGUGGAUGAGUGGCGAACGGGUGAGUAACACGUGAGUAACCUGCCCCCUUCUUCUGGAUAACCGCAUGAAAGUGUGGCUAAUACGGGAUAUUCUGGGUCUGUCGCAUGAUGGGUCUGUGAAAGAUAUUGUUUCGGUGGGGGAUGGGCUCGCGGCCUAUCAGCUUGUUGGGGGGGUGAUGGCCUACCAAGGCGGUGAGGGGUAGCCGGCCUGGGAGGGUGGACGGUCACACUGGGACUGAGACACGGCCGAGACUGCUACGGGAGGCAGAAGUGGGGAAUAUUGAACAGUGGGCGAAAGCCUGAUGCAGCGACGCCGCGGGAGGGAUGGAGGCCUGCGGGUUGUGAACCUCUUUGGCCAGUGAAGCAGGCCUGCCUCGUUUGUGGGUGGGUUGACGGUAGCUGGAUAAGAAGCGCCGGCUAACUACGUG